GACGAACGCUGGCGGCGUGCUUAACACAUGCAAGUCGAACGGAAAGGCCCUUCGGGGUACUCGAGUGGCGAACGGGUGAGUAACACGUGGGUGAUCUGCCCUGCACUUUGGGAUAAGCCUGGGAAACUGGGUCUAAUACCGAAUAGGACCACGCGCUUCAUGGUGUGUGGUGGAAAGCUUUUGCGGUGUGGGAUGGGCCCGCGGCCUAUCAGCUUGUUGGUGGGGUAAUGGCCUACCAAGGCGACGACGGGUAGCCGGCCUGAGAGGGUGACCGGCCACACUGGGACUGAGAUACGGCCCAGACUCCUACGGGAGGCAGCAGUGGGGAAUAUUGCACAAUGGGCGCAAGCCUGAUGCAGCGACGCCGCGUGAGGGAUGACGGCCUUCGGGUUGUAAACCUCUUUCAAUAGGGACGAAGCGCAAGUGACGGUACCUAUAGAAGAAGCACCGGCCAACUACGCGCCAGCAGCCGCGGUAAUACGUAGGGUGCGAGCGUUGUCCGGAAUUACUGGGCGUAAAGAGCUCGUAGGUGGUUUGUCGCGUUGUUCGUGAAAACUCACAGCUUAACUGUGGGCGUGCGGGCGAUACGGGCAGACUAGAGUACUGCAGGGGAGACUGGAAUUCCUGGUGUAGCGGUGGAAUGCGCAGAUAUCAGGAGGAACACCGGUGGCGAAGGCGGGUCUCUGGGCAGUAACUGACGCUGAGGAGCGAAAGCGUGGGGAGCGAACAGGAUUAGAUACCCUGGUAGUCCACGCCGUAAACGGUGGGUACUAGGUGUGGGUUCCUUCCUUGGGAUCCGUGCCGUAGCUAACGCAUUAAGUACCCCGCCUGGGGAGUACGGCCGCAAGGCUAAAACUCAAAGGAAUUGACGGGGGCCCGCACAAGCGGCGGAGCAUGUGGAUUAAUUCGAUGCAACGCGAAGAACCUUACCUGGGUUUGACAUGCACAGGACGCCGGCAGAGAUGUCGGUUCCCUUGUGGCCUGUGUGCAGGUGGUGCAUGGCUGUCGUCAGCUCGUGUCGUGAGAUGUUGGGUUAAGUCCCGCAACGAGCGCAACCCUUGUCCUAUGUUGCCAGCGGGUUAUGCCGGGGACUCGUAGGAGACUGCCGGGGUCAACUCGGAGGAAGGUGGGGAUGACGUCAAGUCAUCAUGCCCCUUAUGUCCAGGGCUUCACACAUGCUACAAUGGCCGGUACAAAGGGCUGCGAUGCCGUGAGGUGGAGCGAAUCCUUUCAAAGCCGGUCUCAGUUCGGAUCGGGGUCUGCAACUCGACCCCGUGAAGUCGGAGUCGCUAGUAAUCGCAGAUCAGCAACGCUGCGGUGAAUACGUUCCCGGGCCU
RNAcentral lists this ribosomal RNA (1337 nucleotides) under uncultured bacterium. Its description in RNAcentral is "bacterial SSU rRNA". It matches the Rfam family "Bacterial small subunit ribosomal RNA", at positions 28 to 1381 of the family's 1533-position model. The record is from RNAcentral.